GGGUAACCUGCCUGUAAGACUGGGAUAACUCCGGGAAACCGGAGCUAAUACCGGAUAGUUCCUUGAACCGCAUGGUUCAAGGAUGAAAGACGGUUUCGGCUGUCACUUACAGAUGGACCCGCGGCGCAUUAGCUAGUUGGUGGGGUAAUGGCUCACCAAGGCGACGAUGCGUAGCCGACCUGAGAGGGUGAUCGGCCACACUGGGACUGAGACACGGCCCAGACUCCUACGGGAGGCAGCAGUAGGGAAUCUUCCGCAAUGGACGAAAGUCUGACGGAGCAACGCCGCGUGAGUGAUGAAGGUUUUCGGAUCGUAAAGCUCUGUUGUUAGGGAAGAACAAGUGCGAGAGUAACUGCUCGCACCUUGACGGUACCUAACCAGAAAGCCACGGCUAACUACGUGCCAGCAGCCGCGGUAAUACGUAGGUGGCAAGCGUUGUCCGGAAUUAUUGGGCGUAAAGGGCUCGCAGGCGGUUUCUUAAGUCUGAUGUGAAAGCCCCCGGCUCAACCGGGGAGGGUCAUUGGAAACUGGGAAACUUGAGUGCAGAAGAGGAGAGUGGAAUUCCACGUGUAGCGGUGAAAUGCGUAGAGAUGUGGAGGAACACCAGUGGCGAAGGCGACUCUCUGGUCUGUAACUGACGCUGAGGAGCGAAAGCGUGGGGAGCGAACAGGAUUAGAUACCCUGGUAGUCCACGCCGUAAACGAUGAGUGCUAAGUGUUAGGGGGUUUCCGCCCCUUAGUGCUGCAGCUAACGCAUUAAGCACUCCGCCUGGGGAGUACGGUCGCAAGACUGAAACUCAAAGGAAUUGACGGGGGCCCGCACAAGCGGUGGAGCAUGUGGUUUAAUUCGAAGCAACGCGAAGAACCUUACCAGGUCUUGACAUCCUCUGACAACCCUAGAGAUAGGGCUUUCCCUUCGGGGACAGAGUGACAGGUGGUGCAUGGUUGUCGUCAGCUCGUGUCGUGAGAUGUUGGGUUAAGUCCCGCAACGAGCGCAACCCUUGAUCUUAGUUGCCAGCAUUUAGUUGGGCACUCUAAGGUGACUGCCGGUGACAAACCGGAGGAAGGUGGGGAUGACGUCAAAUCAUCAUGCCCCUUAUGACCUGGGCUACACACGUGCUACAAUGGACAGAACAAAGGGCUGCGAGACCGCAAGGUUUAGCCAAUCCCAUAAAUCUGUUCUCAGUUCGGAUCGCAGUCUGCAACUCGACUGCGUGAAGCUGGAAUCGCUAGUAAUCGCGGAUCAGCA
This 1248-nucleotide ribosomal RNA is filed under the name Bacillus pumilus. RNAcentral describes it as "bacterial SSU rRNA". It matches the Rfam family "Bacterial small subunit ribosomal RNA", at positions 119 to 1354 of the family's 1533-position model. The record is from RNAcentral. Lineage: Bacteria; Bacillati; Bacillota; Bacilli; Caryophanales; Bacillaceae.